CAGCAGCCGCGGUAAUACGAGGGGGGCAAGCGUUGUUCGGAAUUAUUGGGCGUAAAGGGUGCGUAGGCGGUUUGGCAAGUCUUAUGUGAAAUCUUCGGGCUCAACCCGAAGUCUGCAUGAGAAACUACCGGGCUUGAGUAUUAGAGAGGUGAGUGUAAUUUCCGGUGUAGCGGUGAAAUGCGUAGAUAUCGGAAGGAACACCUGUGGCGAAAGCGGCUCACUGGACAAUAACUGACGCUGAUGCACGAAAGCUAGGGGAGCAAACAGGAUUAGAUACCCCAGUAGUCCCUGUCUCUUAUAC
Molecule: ribosomal RNA, 301 nt
Filed under: uncultured bacterium
Lineage: Bacteria
Description: partial 16S ribosomal RNA
Rfam family: Bacterial small subunit ribosomal RNA
Source: RNAcentral